GAUGAACGCUGGCGGCGUGCCUAAUACAUGCAAGUCGAGCGAAUGGAUUAAGAGCUUGCUCUUAUGAAGUUAGCGGCGGACGGGUGAGUAACACGUGGGUAACCUGCCCAUAAGACUGGGAUAACUCCGGGAAACCGGGGCUAAUACCGGAUAACAUUUUGAACCGCAUGGUUCGAAAUUGAAAGGCGGCUUCGGCUGUCACUUAUGGAUGGAACCGCGUCGCAUUAGCUAGUUGGUGAGGUAACGGCUCACCAAGGCAACGAUGCGUAGCCGACCUGGGAGGGUGAUCGGCCACACUGGGACUGAGACACGGCCCAGACUCCUACGGGAGGCAGCAGUAGGGAAUCUUCCGCGAUGGACGAAAGUCUGACGGAGCAACGCCGCGUGAGUGAUGAAGGCUUUCGGGUCGUAAAACUCUGUUGUUAGGGAAGAACAAGUGCUAGUUGAAUAAGCUGGCACCUUGACGGUACCUAACCAGAAAGCCACGGCUAACUACGUGCCAGCAGCCGCCGUAA
Molecule: ribosomal RNA, 515 nt
Filed under: uncultured bacterium
Lineage: Bacteria
Description: partial 16S ribosomal RNA
Rfam family: Bacterial small subunit ribosomal RNA
Source: RNAcentral